This 894-nucleotide ribosomal RNA is filed under the name uncultured bacterium. RNAcentral's name for it is "bacterial SSU rRNA". It matches the Rfam family "Bacterial small subunit ribosomal RNA", at positions 8 to 856 of the family's 1533-position model. The record is from RNAcentral.
AGAGUUUGAUCCUGGCUCAGGAUGAACGCCGGCUGUGUGCCUAAUACAUGCAAGUCGUACGCACUGGCCCAACUGAUUGAUGGUGCUUGCACCUGAUUGACGAUGGAUCACCAGUGAGUGGCGGACGGGUGAGUAACACGUAGGUAACCUGCCUCGGAGCGGGGGAUAACAUUUGGAAACAGAUGCUAAUACCGCAUAACAACAAAAGCCACAUGGCUUUUGUUUGAAAGAUGGCUUUGGCUAUCACUCUGGGAUGGACCUGCGGUGCAUUAGCUAGUUGGUAAGGUAACGGCUUACCAAGGCAAUGAUGCAUAGCCGAGUUGAGAGACUGAUCGGCCACAAUGGAACUGAGACACGGUCCAUACUCCUACGGGAGGCAGCAGUAGGGAAUCUUCCACAAUGGGCGCAAGCCUGAUGGAGCAACACCGCGUGAGUGAAGAAGGGUUUCGGCUCGUAAAGCUCUGUUGUUGGAGAAGAACGUGCGUGAGAGUAACUGUUCACGCAGUGACGGUAUCCAACCAGAAAGUCACGGCUAACUACGUGCCAGCAGCCGCGGUAAUACGUAGGUGGCAAGCGUUAUCCGGAUUUAUUGGGCGUAAAGCGAGCGCAGGCGGUUGCUUAGGUCUGAUGUGAAAGCCUUCGGCUUAACCGAAGAAGUGCAUCGGAAACCGGGCGACUUGAGUGCAGAAGAGGACAGUGGAACUCCAUGUGUAGCGGUGGAAUGCGUAGAUAUAUGGAAGAACAGCAGUGGCGAAGGCGGCUGUCUGGUCUGCAACUGACGCUGAGGCUCGAAAGCAUGGGUAGCGAACAGGAUUAGAUACCCUGGUAGUCCAUGCCGUAAACGAUGAGUGCUAGGUGUUGGAGGGUUUCCGCCCCUUCAUUGCCGGAACUAAC